CAGUAGCCACGGUAAUACGGAGGAUCCAAGCGUUAUCCGGAAUCAUUGGGUUUAAAGGGUCCGUAGGCGGUUUAGUAAGUCAGUGGUGAAAGCCCAUCGCUCAACGGUGGAACGGCCAUUGAUACUGCUGAACUUGAAUUAUUAGGAAGUAACUAGAAUAUGUAGUGUAGCGGUGAAAUGCUUAGAGAUUACAUGGAAUACCAAUUGCGAAGGCAGGUUACUACUAAUUGAUUGACGCUGAUGGACGAAAGCGUGGGGAGCGAACAGGAUUAGAUACCCCCGUAGUCCCUGUCUCUUAUAC
This 301-nucleotide ribosomal RNA is filed under the name uncultured bacterium. RNAcentral describes it as "partial 16S ribosomal RNA". It matches the Rfam family "Bacterial small subunit ribosomal RNA", at positions 509 to 807 of the family's 1533-position model. The record is from RNAcentral.